This 433-nucleotide ribosomal RNA is filed under the name uncultured bacterium. RNAcentral's name for it is "partial 16S ribosomal RNA". It matches the Rfam family "Bacterial small subunit ribosomal RNA", at positions 29 to 507 of the family's 1533-position model. The record is from RNAcentral.
AACGAACGCUGGCGGCAUGCCUAACACAUGCAAGUCGAACGAGACCUUCGGGCCUAGUGGCGCAGGGGGGCGUAACGCGGGGGAACCUGCCCGUAGGUUCGGAAUAACUGCCCGAAGGGGGAGCUAAUACCGGUGAAUGUCUUCGGACCUAAGAUUUCUCGCUUCUGGGUGGGGCCGGGUUGGAUUAGGCGGUUGGUAGGGUACAAGCGGGCCAACGCCACGAUGCAUAGCUGGUCUGAGAGCAUGAUCAGGCACGCUGGGACUGAGACACGGCCCAGACUCCUACGGGAGGCAGCAGUGUGGAAUAUUGGGCGAUGGGCGAUAGCCUGAUCCAGCAAUGCCGGGUAAGUGAUGAAGGCCUUAGUGUUGUGAAGCUCUUUUACCCGGGAUGAUAGUGACAGUACCGGGAGAAUAAGCUCCGGCUAACUCCGUG